This is a long non-coding RNA of Denticeps clupeoides (denticle herring), 2202 nucleotides long. The record is from Ensembl. Lineage: Eukaryota; Metazoa; Chordata; Actinopteri; Clupeiformes; Denticipitidae.
UGAAUACUGACGUGUGUGUGUGUGUGUGUGUGUGUGUGUAUUCAUCCUGUGGCGGUAAUUGUCUCUGUUGUUGCUCGGUUUUGCUGAUUGAGGAAUUGUGUGAAUCUAUUUGUGCUCUUUUUAGCGCUGUCACUCUGUGAUGGUGACAAAAGACCAGUGGGGCACAUUCAGAAAAUGAUCAACAUUAUUAAUCAUAUUCAGUUCAUACUUUGGCUGUACUUUCUGCAAGAAUGGAAUCAAUAUAGGAUGUGUUACAGGAAAUUCCUGUGGAAAUCAGGCAGGAGUAGAGAGGGGCUUGUGCAGUUAGAUGCUCUGCUGUGGGUGCAGGAGAUUCCACGUCUCUCAUUGGUGGAGGCGGAAAGAGGCGAGCAGCAACAGCGGCGACAGCAGCGACACACACCUGUCACUGUCACCGCGGCCAGGAGGGAGACGCCGUCUUUCACGCUCAGUAGACCUGACGUUCUGAGGUUUAAUCCACACCGGGGCUUAAUGAAGUCCCUCGUUCAGCGAGACGUGAAGGCAGGAAGGCUGAGCGCAUGUGGAAAAAGAAUCGGCUGCAGGUGUCUUCAGACAUUCUAAAGGAAAAAACUGAACAUGUACCAGGAAACCAAAAAUUCUUUCUAACAUAUAUCACAAGCCUGGAACUCUUUUCAGUACCAUCGAUGCGGCUCUUAAUGCCACUCAUGACAACUGUCUGGAAGCCUCCCUUGAUACUUGCAAAAUAUUUUUGAACUAUUUGGAACUAAUAGUGGACAAAGCUAAAAAUAUCAGAGCUCUAAUUACACCGCCUUCGAACUUCCCAUUUGCUGCAUCAUCUAUCAAAGUUCCUGGAAAACGUGGUCCUGUCCCAGAUCCAGUCCAAUUUGAAUAAUCACGAGAUCCUUGAACCUUAAAGGCCUCCAUAGCAUGGAGACUGCCCUGUUGAAGGUUUAUAAUGACCUUUUAUUAGCUGCUGAUUCUGGUGCUCAGAAGUUUUUCUGUCAGCAUUGGUGACUGUACAUCCUCCUGGUCUCCUGUUCACUGUGGGGUGCCCCAGGGCUCUGUACUUGGCCCUUUGCUGUUUUCUUUAUACACACUCCCACUAGGAACCAUUUUAAGAAAAAAUGAUAUUUCAUUCCAUUUUUAUGACAAUGUGGUGCAAAUCUACCUGCCCCUAAAACAGACACAUACCAGCUUUUUAAAUCCAAAGAAUGGAUGGCUUUGAACUUUUUUCAGGAAAGCAAAACAGAGGUUUUAAUUUUUAAGCCCAGUGCCACCAGCUAUUGCCCUAAAUUGGACUUUGGUUCCGUAGAAUCCUACUCUAAGUCCUCAGUACGGAACCUGGGUGUAAUCAUGGAUGGUGAUUUUAAAAUGGACCAGCAAAUAAAUUGUGUAGUCAAGUCAAGUUUUUAUCAUCUGAGACUUUGAGCUAAAGUUAAGACCUUUUUAUAUAUUAAUGAUUUUGAGAAGGCCAUACUAGACCAUAAAGUGCUCUAGAAAUAAAGUUGACCUCACUUGACAAUCACUUCACGUUCACCUUUUUCACUUUCACGGCACUUCUUGUGGUCAGUAAGGACGAGGAACAGAUGGGUUACCCCCCCCAGCCAGUGGCGCCACUGUUCCAGCAGUUCGCGGUUACCCACAUCCACUUUGUCCAAUCACUGAGAGAAAAAAACACAAGGGUGCAGUUUGUUGCCGUUGGGGUCACGCUGCAAAAGGACUGUCCCCACCCCUAGACCUUGACGAGGUUCGGAUGGAGGCUGAGGUGAAAUGAUGCUAGAGGUCCUCAAAAGCCCGCUGAGCCAAGUGUGUCCCCGGAGCAGGGACAUAGCCCUGGAUGAACCAAACUUUCAUCAGCACGUCACCUGCUCCACCAGGGGUGAAAGGACAUUGGACCAUUCUUACAACACAAUCAAUGAUGGUUACAGGGCACAAUCUCGUCCACUGUUUGGUAAAUCUGACCACACUGCCAUCUUCCUCAUGCCUAAAUACAAAGAACAGACUAAAACAGGAAGUUCCGGUUCAGAGAGAGGAAGGCAGCAGGACCAGACGGCAUCUCGGGGAGAAUCCUCAGAGCCUGAGCAGAUCAGCUAGCACCGGUGUUCACAGAGAUAUUCAGCCUCUCUCUAGCUCAGUCGGUGAUCCCCACAGGCUUCAAGGUGUCCAUCAUUGUUCCGGUCCCCAAGAAAACCCAUCCUGCCUCCCUCAACGACUACCGCCCUG